RNAcentral lists this transfer RNA (84 nucleotides) under Candidatus Altarchaeales archaeon WOR_SM1_SCG. RNAcentral describes it as "Candidatus Altiarchaeales archaeon WOR_SM1_SCG tRNA-Leu". The record is from RNAcentral. Lineage: Archaea; Nanobdellati; Candidatus Altarchaeota; Candidatus Altarchaeia; Candidatus Altarchaeales.
GCGGGGGUUCCCAAGUCUGGUCAAAGGGGCACGGUUGAGGGCCGUGUGGCUAAGCCUACGCGUGAUCGAAGCACGUCCCCCGCA